AUUGAACGCUGGCGGAAUGCUUUACACAUGCAAGUCGAGCGGCAGCGCGGGGGCAACCCUGGCGGCGAGCGGCGAACGGGUGAGUAAUACAUCGGAACGUGUCCUUAAGUGGGGGAUAGCUCGGCGAAAGCCGGAUUAAUACCGCAUAAGCUCUGAGGAGGAAAGCGGGGGCUCCGUAAGGACCUCGCGCUGUUGGAGCGGCCGAUGUCGGAUUAGCUAGUUGGUGGGGUAAAGCCCACCAAGGCGACGAUCCGUAGCUGGUCUGAGAGGAUGAUCAGCCACACUGGAACUGAGACACGGUCCAGACUCCUACGGGAGGCAGCAGUGGGGAAUUUUGGACAAUGGGGGCAA
Molecule: ribosomal RNA, 351 nt
Filed under: uncultured bacterium
Lineage: Bacteria
Description: bacterial SSU rRNA
Rfam family: Bacterial small subunit ribosomal RNA
Source: RNAcentral